Molecule: small RNA, 264 nt
Filed under: Pongo abelii (Sumatran orangutan)
Lineage: Eukaryota; Metazoa; Chordata; Mammalia; Primates; Hominidae
Description: processed transcript
Source: RNAcentral
GAGAGCUGUGUGCCUGAAAGUGGCCAGAGGACAGUUUGAGGGGGGUCCUGAUGGAGGGUGGUGAGGGGGACACACUUCUGCCUGCAGAAGGAGGAGCUCAGUGUGGCCCACCCUACAGCUGUGGCAUCUCUGGUAACCUGUGGAGCCACCUGUCCCUCUCGUGGGCUUGUCUCUGGACUUGCUUCAGGCAGAGAAGAAUCCAGACACAGAGAGACAUUGGUGAAGGUCUGGCCGUGGGUCUGGGCUUCGGGGCACUGGCAGAGG